Balaenoptera acutorostrata (minke whale) is the source of this 529-nucleotide long non-coding RNA. RefSeq lists it as uncharacterized. The transcript is spliced from 2 exons. The record is from RefSeq and is a predicted model, not a curated record. Lineage: Eukaryota; Metazoa; Chordata; Mammalia; Artiodactyla; Balaenopteridae.
GGGAGAGGGGUACAUUCAGGACCAUGAGACUCAUCAUGAGACAAAAAAAAUAAGAGGUAGACAAGCAGAAGGAAGGAAGAAGUAGGGAAAGGAGGAGAACAGUCUGUUUAGCAGAGAGAUGCCAACUCUUCAGGACAAAGAUGCUGGGCACCGGGCAGGGAAAGGCUGCUGGGACUCGCUAUGUGGCCUCAGGGAGGUCGAAGACGGUCUCUGGGCUUCAGUUUCCCCAUUUGUAAGGAUGUUCCGCACCAUCGCUGGCCUCAAGCCACUGGAUGUCAGUAGCAGCCUUCCGCACCUCACUUGUGACAAUCAGAAAUGCCUCCACUACUGAGCCUGCGCGUCCAGAGCCUGUGCUCCGCAACAAGAGAGGCCGCGAUAGUGAGAGGCCCGCGCACCGCGAUGAAGAGUGGCCCCCGCUCGCCGCAACUAGAGAAAGCCCUCGCACAGAAACGAAGAGCCAACACAGCCAUAAAUAAAUAAAUAAAUAAAUAAAUAAAUAAAUAAAUAAAUAAAUUUUUAAAAAAAGAAA